Brassica napus (rape) is the source of this 124-nucleotide non-coding RNA. Lineage: Eukaryota; Viridiplantae; Streptophyta; Magnoliopsida; Brassicales; Brassicaceae. The record is from Rfam.
AUAAUAUAAGAUACAGUUUCUUAACUGUUAACUAAAAAGCUAAGAGACACCUCUUAAAUUAGAGAUAUAAGAAACGUCUCUUAGUUUUUUUAGUUAAAAACUAAGAGACUAUAUCUUAUAUUAC